CCUGAUCUCCAUCAGGAAUGCCUGUGGCCCUGGUCACUGCCUGAGAUGUUGGUGAUGGUUCUGAUGGAAGAAAAACAAAGGCAAGGCAAAUGAUAAGGUUUUCAUACAGAAAUACAGAGCUCUUGUAGAAACUGAUUCUGUUUCUGGUUCUAUCACAAUUUGCUAUGAUGGCCUCCCCAGAGAGGAUAAAGCUUAUAGACUGCAAACUGGAAGAGCUUGUAGAUGACCUCUGUCACAACUGUAAUUUGAUCUCAAGGUCACAUGGACAAGACUGGGAAGUAUGUGUCACACAUCAUCC
Molecule: long non-coding RNA, 298 nt
Filed under: Saimiri boliviensis boliviensis (Bolivian squirrel monkey)
Lineage: Eukaryota; Metazoa; Chordata; Mammalia; Primates; Cebidae
Description: lncRNA (ENSSBOG00000036555.1)
Source: RNAcentral